UACGGAGGGUGCAAGCGUUAUCCGGAUUCACUGGGUUUAAAGGGUGCGUAGGCGGGUAGGUAAGUCAGUGGUGAAAUCUUCGAGCUUAAACUCGGAAACUGCCUUUGAUACUAUCUAUUCUUGAAUAUUGUGGAGGUAAGCGGAAUAUGUCAUGUAGCGGUGAAAUGCUUAGAUAUGACAUAGAACACCAAAUUGCGAAGGCAGCUUACUACACAAUGAUUGACGCUGAGGCACGAAAGCGUGGGGGAUCAAAACAGGA
Molecule: ribosomal RNA, 259 nt
Filed under: uncultured bacterium
Lineage: Bacteria
Description: partial 16S ribosomal RNA
Rfam family: Bacterial small subunit ribosomal RNA
Source: RNAcentral